RNAcentral lists this ribosomal RNA (400 nucleotides) under Calliphora nigribarbis. RNAcentral's name for it is "partial 16S rRNA". It matches the Rfam family "Bacterial large subunit ribosomal RNA", at positions 1929 to 2538 of the family's 2925-position model. Lineage: Eukaryota; Metazoa; Arthropoda; Insecta; Diptera; Calliphoridae. The record is from RNAcentral.
GGCCGCAGUAUACUAACUGUGCAAAGGUAGCAUAAUCAUUAGUCUUUUAAUUGAAGGCUGGUAUGAAUGGUUGGACGAGAUAUUAACUGUUUCAUAAUAAUUUAUAAUAGAAUUUUAUUUUUUAGUCAAAAAGCUAAAAUAUAUUUAAAAGACGAGAAGACCCUAUAAAUCUUUAUAUUUAGAUUAUUAUAAUUUUAUAGAUUUUUUUUAUUAUAAUAAUCAAUGAUAUUUUAUUGGGGUGAUAUUAAAAUUUAAUAAACUUUUAAUUGUUAAAAUCAUUAAUUUAUGAAUAAUUGAUCCGUUAUUAGCGAUUAAAAAAAUAAGUUACUUUAGGGAUAACAGCGUAAUUUUUUUGGAGAGUUCAUAUCGAUAAAAAAGAUUGCGACCUCGAUGUUGGAUU